AUCCAGCUGAGGAGUCCCAAAUGGGACGAAACGCGAUUCCUG
This 42-nucleotide non-coding RNA is filed under the name Schistosoma curassoni. Lineage: Eukaryota; Metazoa; Platyhelminthes; Trematoda; Strigeidida; Schistosomatidae. The record is from RNAcentral.